GGUUGAUCCUUCCAGCUUUAUAUGCUAGUCUUAAAGACUAAGCCAUGCAUGUGAAAGUACUAGCUCAUCUGAGCGAAACCGCGAACGGCUCAUUAAAACAGUUAUAAUUUAUUUGACAGAAACCUCCACAUGGAUAACCGUGGGAAAGCCAGAGCUAAUACAUGCAGCCGCAAGGCACGAUUUAUUAGGUACAGCCAGAACACUUUGUGUUUGGUGAGUCAUGGUAACUUCGGGAUCGUCGGCGUAUGCUGGCGACAGGUCAUUUAAGUUUCUGACCCAUCAACUUUGUCGGUAGUGUAUGGGACUACCAUGGUGGUAACGGGUAACGGGGGUUCGGGUCUGAUUCCGGAGAUGGAGCAUUAGAAAUGGCUCCAACAUCUAAGGAUAGCAGCAGGCGCGCAAAUUAUCCACUCUUGACUAAGGGAGAUAGUGACGAAACAUAUCGGCGCGGGGCUAUGCUUCUGCGACCGAAACGGAGGUGUUCUAAACAGACAUCUGAAAACUAUUGGUGGGCAACUCUGGUGCCAGCAGCCGCGGUAAUUCCUGGACCAAUAGUGUAUAUUGAAAUUGUUGCGGUUAAAAAGUUCGUAGUCGGAAGUGGUCGUCCUUUGGGACGGCGUCAGAUCACAGCGCUUUGCGUGAAGUGACUGGCGGGCUACUUUGAGGAAAAUAGGGUGCUCAAAACAGGCGUACGUCUGAAUAAAUCAGCAUAGAAUAGCACAGUGCCGUUGGCUAGCUGGUUGAAGCUACGGAAUGGUUAAUAGGAGCAAGCGUGGGCGAAGGAAUUCCAGGGUCAGAGGUGAAAUUCUUAGAUUCCUGGAGGACCGACAAAGGCGCAAGCAUUCGCCAAGUAUGCUUCCGUUGAUCAAGAACUAAAGUGUGAGAAUCAAAGACGAUCAGAUACCGUCGUAGUUCACACCAUAAACGAUGUCGACUCACUCCCAGCUCAGCUUUGGGCUGAGUUGAGGGUGUACGAGAAAUCAAAGUCUUUGGAGUCCGGGGAGAGUACUGUCGCAAGUCAGAAAUUUAAAGGAAUUGACGGAGGAGCACACCAAAAGUGGAUUUUGCGGCUUAAUCUGACCCAACGCGGGAAAGCUUACCAGGACAGGACAUGGCCAUGAUCGACAGCUUGAUAGCGCUUUCGAGAUUCCAUGAGUGGCGGUGCAUGGCCGUUGCAAGUUCGUGGAUCGAUCUGUCUGGUUAAUUCCGUUAACGAACGAGACCUGGGCUCUUAAUGGGGCUUGGUAAUCUACCGAUGCCCCUCUUAAGAGGACGGGCUGUGUCAAACAGCAGGAAGUCCAGGCAAUAACAGGUCUGUGAUGCCCUUAGAUGCCCUGGGCCGCACGCGUAAUACACUGGCGAGACAACGGGUUGAUUGGCCGAAAGGCCUAUCAAAGCGAGAACCUCGUCCGUGGCUGGGAUAGACGGUUGGAAAUCCGUCUUGAACAAGGAAUUCUUAGUAAGCGCGCCUCAUUACGGCGUGCUGAUUAAGUCCCUGCUUCUUGUACACACCGCCCGUCGCUGUUUCCGAUCGGACGGCUUAGUGAAGUGCCCGGACUGGCACUUAGGUGCUGGAAAGGGCGAUGAACUUGGUCGUCUAGAGGAAGCAAAAGUCGUAACAAGGUA
This 1626-nucleotide ribosomal RNA is filed under the name metagenome. RNAcentral describes it as "SSU rRNA". It matches the Rfam family "Eukaryotic small subunit ribosomal RNA". The record is from RNAcentral.